RNAcentral lists this transfer RNA (71 nucleotides) under Loxodonta africana (African savanna elephant). It matches the Rfam family "tRNA". From Rfam's summary of the family: Transfer RNA (tRNA) molecules are approximately 80 nucleotides in length. Lineage: Eukaryota; Metazoa; Chordata; Mammalia; Proboscidea; Elephantidae. The record is from Rfam by way of RNAcentral.
GCAUUGGUGUUUCAGUGGUAGAAUUCUUGCCUUCUAUGUGGGAGACACGGAUUCGAUCCCUGACCAGUGCA